GCACUCAUAGCUUAACUGGAUAGAGCGUCGCCCUCCGGAGGCGGAUGCGGGGGUUCGAGUCCCUCUGGGUGUGCCA
RNAcentral lists this transfer RNA (76 nucleotides) under Francisella halioticida. Its description in RNAcentral is "tRNA-Arg". It matches the Rfam family "tRNA". From Rfam's summary of the family: Transfer RNA (tRNA) molecules are approximately 80 nucleotides in length. Lineage: Bacteria; Pseudomonadati; Pseudomonadota; Gammaproteobacteria; Thiotrichales; Francisellaceae. The record is from RNAcentral.